This 1104-nucleotide long non-coding RNA is filed under the name Scophthalmus maximus (turbot). Its description in RNAcentral is "lncRNA (ENSSMAG00000035525.1)". Lineage: Eukaryota; Metazoa; Chordata; Actinopteri; Pleuronectiformes; Scophthalmidae. The record is from RNAcentral.
GGUGUCAAAGUCACAUUUAUAAAGUUCUGUUUCUAUACCUCUGUCUCUCCCUCUCUCUACCUGUCUGUCCAUCUCUCUCUCUCCGUCUCUUUACUUGUCUCUCCAUAUGUCUCUCUCCCUCUCUUUACCUGUCUGUCCAUCUCUCUCUCUCCCUCUCUUUACCUGUCUGUCCAUCUCUCUCUCUCCCUCUCUUUACCUGUCUGUCCAUCUCUUCUAUCAUUUUCUUUCCCUGUCUGUCAAUCUCUCAAUCCCCUCUUAACCUGUCUGUCCACCUCUCUCUCCCUCUCUUUACCUGUCUGUCCAUCUCUCUCUAUCCCUCUCUUUACCUGUCUGUUCAUCUCUCUCCCCCUCUCUUUACCUCUCUGUCCAUCUCCCUCUCUUAACCUGUCUGUCCAUCUCUCUACCUCUCUUAACCUGUCUGUCCAUCUCUCUACCUCUCUUUACUUGUCUGUCCAUCUGUCUCUCUCUCUCCUUCUCUUUACCUGUCUGUCCAUCUGUGUCUCCUUCUCUUUACCUGUCUGUCCAUCUGUCUCUCUCUCUCUUUACCUGUCUCUCCAUCUGUCUCUCCUUCUCUUUACCUGUCUGUCCAUCUCUCUCCCUCUCUUUACCUGUCUGUCCAUCUCUCUCCCUCUUUACCUGUCUGUCCAUCUCUCUCCCUCCCUUUUACUGUCUGUCCAUCUGUCUCUCCCUCUCUUUACCUGUCUCUCCUUCUCUUUACCUGUCUGUCCACCUGUCUCUCCCUCUCUUUUCCUGUCUCUCCACCUGUCUCUCCUUCUCUUUACCUGCCUGUCCAUCUGUCUCUCCCUCUCUUUUCCUGUCUGUCCAUCUGUCUCUCCCUCUCUUUACCUGUCUGUCCAUCUGUCUCUCCUUCUCUUUAUCUGUCUGUCCAUCUGUCUCUCCUUCUCUUUACCUGCCUGUCCAUCUGUCUCUCCCUCUCUUUUCCUGUCUGUCCAUCUGUCUCUCCCUCUCUUUACCUGUCUGUCCAUCUGUCUCUCCUUCUCUUUAUCUGUCUGUCCAUCUGUCUCUCCUUCUCUUUACCUGUCUGUCCAUCUCUCUCUCUCUCGCUGCUUCACCUCCAAAAUAAGGAGAAGUGUCCGGAUGUAG